UCUGUCUACCAUCUCUUACCCAUGUCUUUUGCGUACUUAACGUUUCCUCGGCAGGUCCGCCUGCCGUAGGACAAUUAUAAACCAUUUGCAGUUGCAGUCAGCGUCUGAAAAACAUAAUAAUUACAACUUUUAACAACGGAUCUCUUGGUUCUGGCAUCGAUGAAGAACGCAGCGAAAUGCGAUAAGUAGUGUGAAUUGCAGAAUUCAGUGAAUCAUCGAAUCUUUGAACGCACAUUGCGCCCCUUGGUAUUCCAUGGGGCAUGCCUGUUCGAGCGUCAUUUGUACCCUCAAGCUCUGCUUGGUGUUGGGUGUUUGUCCCGCCUUUGUGCGCGGACUCGCCUUAAAGCAAUUGGCAGCCGGCGUAUAGAUUUCGGAGCGCAGCACAAUCCGCGCUUUGUACUCAUUACGACGACAUCCAUCAAGACAUUUUUUAACUCUUGACCUCGGAUCAGGUAGGGAUACCCGCUGAACUUAAGCAUAUCAAUAAGCGGAG
RNAcentral lists this unclassified non-coding RNA (493 nucleotides) under Ascomycota sp. N1. Its description in RNAcentral is "sequence contains ITS1, 5.8S rRNA gene, ITS2". The stretch from base 125 to 278 matches the Rfam family "5.8S ribosomal RNA". Lineage: Eukaryota; Fungi; Ascomycota. The record is from RNAcentral.